Molecule: ribosomal RNA, 233 nt
Filed under: uncultured bacterium
Lineage: Bacteria
Description: partial 16S ribosomal RNA
Rfam family: Bacterial small subunit ribosomal RNA
Source: RNAcentral
ACGGGUGAGUAACACGUAUCCAACCUGCCGUCUACUCUUGGACAGCCUUCUGAAAGGAAAGAUUAAUACAAGAUGGCAUCAUGAGUCCGCAUGUUCACAUGAUUAAAGGUAUUCCGGUAGACGAUGGGGAUGCGUUCCAUUAGAUAGUAGGCGGGGUAACGGCCCACCUAGUCUUCGAUGGAUAGGGGUUCUGAGAGGGAGGUCCCCCACAUUGGAACUGAGACACGGUCCAA